UUGACCUCGGAUCAGGUAGGGUUACCCGCUGAACUUAAGCAUAUCAAUAAGCGGAGGAAAAGAAACCAACAGGGAUUGCCUCAGUAACGGCGAGUGAAGCGGCAACAGCUCAAAUUUGAAAUCUGGUCCCCUUUGGGGGCCCGAGUUGUAAUUUGAAGAGGAUGCUUUUGGCGAGGCGCCGUCCGAGUUCCCUGGAACGGGACGCCGCAGAGGGUGAGAGCCCCGUACGGUCGGACGCCGAGCCUCUGUAAAGCUCCUUCGACGAGUCGAGUAGUUUGGGAAUGCUGCUCAAAAUGGGAGGUAAACCCCUUCUAAAGCUAAAUACCGGCCAGAGACCGAUAGCGCACAAGUAGAGUGAUCGAAAGAUGAAAAGCACUUUGAAAAGAGAGUUAAAAAGCACGUGAAAUUGUUAAAAGGGAAGCGCUUGCGACCAGACUUGCGCCCGUCGGAUCAACCGUCGCUUGCGGCGGCGCACUCCGGCGGGCUCAGGCCAGCAUCAGUUCGCUCGGGGGGAGAAAGGCGGCGGGAAUGUAGCUCCUCGGAGUGUUAUAGCCCGCCGUGUAAUACCCUCGGGUGGACUGAGGACCGCGCGUAUGCAAGGAUGCUGGC
RNAcentral lists this ribosomal RNA (609 nucleotides) under Scopulariopsis candida. Its description in RNAcentral is "eukaryotic LSU rRNA". It matches the Rfam family "Eukaryotic large subunit ribosomal RNA", at positions 1 to 630 of the family's 3401-position model. The record is from RNAcentral. Lineage: Eukaryota; Fungi; Ascomycota; Sordariomycetes; Microascales; Microascaceae.